Molecule: ribosomal RNA, 529 nt
Filed under: uncultured Ascomycota
Lineage: Eukaryota; Fungi; Ascomycota
Description: eukaryotic LSU rRNA
Rfam family: 5.8S ribosomal RNA (bases 181-334)
Source: RNAcentral
CAUUACCGAGUUAGGGUCUUAUAGGCCCGACCUCCAACCCUUUGUUUACUAUACCAUGUUGCUUUGGCGGGCCCGCCUUUCGAGGCCGCCGGGGGUUUAUACCCUUGGUCAGUGCCUGCCAGUAGCCUUAUUAAAUUCUUUUUAUAAUUAUGUUGUCUGAGUAUAAAUAUAAAUCGUUAAAACUUUCAACAACGGAUCUCUUGGUUCUGGCAUCGAUGAAGAACGCAGCGAAAUGCGAUAAGUAAUGCGAAUUGCAGAAUUCAGUGAGUCAUCGAAUCUUUGAACGCAUAUUGCGCCCUUUGGUAUUCCGAAGGGCAUGCCUGUUCGAGCGUCAUUAUCAACCAUCAAGCCUGGCUUGUCGUUGGACCUCUUUGCCAUUGAAAUAUGUGGCAGGUCCGAAAGAUAAUGACGGCGUCGUGUUUGACCCUAAAUGCAACGAGCUUUUUAUAGCACGCAUUGAAGUGGUCGGCCGACUCAGUCUUUAACCAUCAUUUUUCUAAGGUUGACCUCGGAUCAGGUAGGAAUACCC